Long non-coding RNA from Prionailurus viverrinus (fishing cat), 1067 nucleotides. RefSeq lists it as uncharacterized. The transcript has 3 exons. Lineage: Eukaryota; Metazoa; Chordata; Mammalia; Carnivora; Felidae. The record is from RefSeq and is a predicted model, not a curated record.
UGCCCCACACCCUCCCUCACACCCUCCGUGUUUUCACACCCUGUUCCCUUGGUCCCUCCCACCUGCCACCUGUUUGAGCAGCCAGCUCUGGCUCCUCCCGCCCUGUCCCUUAUUAGCAGUUUGGGAAAGAGAAACGAUCCGGCAGAAACAUGUGACCCUCCUGCUUGGCCUGGGGCAGGAGGCAGCACUUAGGAGGCCAGGCUGCUGCCCAAGACCACAGAGCCACGGAGCCCAGAGCCACAGAGCACAUGGAGCUAUGGCCAUAGGGACGUGGCCACCAGGCUGCCCAGAGCUCCUGCCUGCUGAACCAGAGGAACCCUGCCUGGCUUCCCCUGCUGCCUCUUCCCUGUCUCCCGGCUUCCAUUUCCAGCGCCUGCAAAAGGCUUGGCACAGUGGAAGGUUCAAGAACUUUUUUUGAUGGACGAAAGAAGACUCGGCCACUUGUCAACCAACACACGGUGAUCGAAAGUGCAGUAGUUGUUCCACGUGUUCAUGCAGAAAAUGACAGGAGGUCAUCCAGGGACACUGUGACAGAGGCGAGUACUGUCCCUGUAGAGGGGGGCCGUGGGGGUGAGUAUCGGCGGAGGGCCUCUGGGGAGUGGGGUGCCGGGGAUGUGGCCACGCAGCUCAAGAGCAGGCAAUUCCCCUCCCUGCCGACGACAACGUCUGUCGUGACCACACCGAGCCUGAUGCAGGGACACGUGUCAUCGAUCCCUUGUUCCCAUGUGGGUCUUUUAGUUUAGCUAAUGCUGCAGCGAUAACACAGCUGGGGAAACUGAGACCCCAGAGCUGAAGAACUGCAAUCACCCGGGUUCUCAACGCAGACUUUCUGACUUCCUGCUCUGCACACGGGCCAUGAGCCUCUGUGGGCUUGUGGAGAAUAGUCUGGAUGCGGGAGUCAGAAUAUCUGGGUCUGCGUGUGGUUUCCACCCCUUUGUGACCCUUGUGUGAUACAUUCCCUGCCUGGAGCCUCGGUACUCACAUAAAACGGGGAUAAAUUGUUUCCUUCCAGGUCGCUAGCAGUCGGUUAAGCGGCUGACUCUUGGUCUUGGCUCAGGUCAUGAGCU